UAGUUUAAUUUUGUGCGUAAUCCACCCUUCCUUAGCCCUCCCACACUGGUAAAGCUGGUACCCUAGUGGCAUGGUCUACAGAGGCCUCCCCUUCCCCAGCAGUUCGAGGCUCUUCACUCUUCCAGAUCCCAGAGCUUCUGCUCUGUUUUACUCCUGGUCAAAAUCCCAGCAUCCUUCUGUACCUCUCAAAAGCCCUGUUCUUCGGGAAGCUGCCCCCGGACUACUUUUGUUUCCCAGGAUUUUGAAGCCUGAAUACCAGGGCUUACUUGGGAGAAUCUGUUCUUUGGCUUGAAGAAGCGGAAUCGAGUGAAGGAGACAGAAAAAUAGAGUUAACAAUACAGUGAUAAGUGCUUAUACCAGUGACAUACAGGGCCUGUGGGAACAUAAAGCUAACCAAGCAGAGUGGGUCGGGGGCCUGCUGAGGCCAUUUCUCUCUCUUUUUUUUUCUUAAUUGACACAGAAUUGUACAUAUUUAUGGGGUAUAUAGUGAUGUUCCGAUAAAUGUAAUGUAUAGUGAUCAGAUCAAGGUAGUUAGCAUAUUCACCUCAAACGUGUAUCAUUUCUUUGUGUUGGGAGCAUUUAAUAUCCUAGCUAUUUGAAACUAUAUAUUAUUGUCAGCUAUAGUCAUCCUACAGUGCUAUAGAACACUAGAACUUAUUCCUUCCAUAUAGCUGUAAUUUUGUAUCUUCUAACAAAUCUCUCCAUAUUCCCCCCCGCCUCUCCUCCGCUGAAGCCAUUUCUGCACCACAGGUGCCUUGAAUCCCCGGCCACACUGAGCACUUCAUAGAGGAGGGUGGGCACGCCGGCAUAGGAAACAGCCUUACCUAUCCUUUGCCCAGAGAUAGUUCUAGUUUUGUCCUUGUUGGGGCAGGUGUUAGGGAUGAAGUGAGAUUGCCAUCAAGAAGGUAGAUCAUGAGCCUGCCCACCUCCCACUGUUCUUACCCUUUCCUUGGUGUCUGUGCAGCAGAGCCAGCUGCUUUACUAACAUUCUUUUUCCCCCAAAGAUGAAAUGUGGCAACUGUGGUGAGAUUUCGGACAAGUGGCAGUACAUCCGGCUGAUGGACAGUGUGGCACUGAAGGGGGGCCGUGGCAGUGCUUCCAUGGUCCAGAAGUGCAAGCUGUGUGCAAGAGAAAAUUCCAUCGAGAUUUUAAGCAGCACCAUCAAGCCUUACAAUGCUGAAGACAAUGAGAACUUCAAGACAAUAGUGGAGUUUGAGUGCCGGGGCCUUGAACCAGUUGAUUUCCAGCCGCAGGCUGGGUUUGCUGCUGAAGGUGUGGAGUCAGGGACAGCCUUCAGUGACAUUAAUCUGCAGGAGAAGGACUGGACUGACUAUGAUGAAAAGGCCCAGGAGUCUGUGGGAAUCUAUGAGGUCACCCACCAGUUUGUGAAGUGCUGAUCCCUCUUCCUUCCCAGUUGCCCUUAAGAACUGAGAAAGGACAAAGUACUCUAAGCAGCAAACCCCACAGAGGCUCGUUCCUUUGACCCUUGUCUCCUGGUGGCUAUACAAAACCUUCACAAUCUGCAUGCUGGACUUUAUUACAGCUUCCCAAGCCCCAUCAAUAAAGCCCCUGUUCAUGCUGCACUGGUGCAUGAAGGUGAAGUAAGGAGGCAGCUACUCCCUCCACAAAUAAGAAUUCGUGCAGCAGCAGUUCACUCCUUAGGAAAAUGAAGAGUAUUUUUAAGGAGAUGGUAUCUCCCCAGUCAAGGGCAAGUUUACAGAGAUGAAACCGCGAUCCCACCAUCACUCAAUGAGCCAGAAGCCAAUGGUGAUGUACUGUUAGCUGAACUUACUGAACUUGCUGUUGGAAAGAUCUUUGUGAGGAUUAGGAAUUAGGUUAAAAGAAAUUAAGAACCAUCUUCAAGCAAAAAUUAAACUUUAUUUCUGCUUAAACAAUAAAUACACCUGAGUUAGUUUUCC
Molecule: small RNA, 1919 nt
Filed under: Pan troglodytes (chimpanzee)
Lineage: Eukaryota; Metazoa; Chordata; Mammalia; Primates; Hominidae
Description: retained intron
Source: RNAcentral